This 132-nucleotide small nuclear RNA is filed under the name Schizoribautia sp. RNAcentral's name for it is "partial U2 snRNA". It matches the Rfam family "U2 spliceosomal RNA", at positions 25 to 155 of the family's 192-position model. Rfam says of the family: U2 is a small nuclear RNA (snRNA) component of the spliceosome (involved in pre-mRNA splicing). Complementary binding between U2 snRNA (in an area lying towards the 5' end but 3' to hairpin I) and the branchpoint sequence (BPS) of the intron results the bulging out of an unpaired adenosine, on the BPS, which initiates a nucleophilic attack at the intronic 5' splice site, thus starting the first of two transesterification reactions that mediate splicing. Lineage: Eukaryota; Metazoa; Arthropoda; Chilopoda; Geophilomorpha; Chilenophilidae. The record is from RNAcentral.
GAUCAAAGUGUAGUAUCUGUUCUUAUCAGCUUAAUAUCUGAUACGGUCCUCAUUGAGGGCCCAGAAUAUUAAACUGAUUUUUGGAAACAGGUGGGGUGCUCGGGGCUUGCUCCACCCCCGCCACGGGUUGGC